Molecule: ribosomal RNA, 491 nt
Filed under: uncultured bacterium
Lineage: Bacteria
Description: partial 16S ribosomal RNA
Rfam family: Bacterial small subunit ribosomal RNA
Source: RNAcentral
AUUGAACGCUGGCGGCAUGCCUAACACAUGCAAGUCGAACGCGAAAGGGCUUCGGCCCGAGUAGAGUGGCGGACGGGUGAGUAAUGCAUGGGAAUCUACCUCGCCGUGGGGGAUAACCCGGGGAAACUCGGGCUAAUACCGCAUACGACCUACGGGUGAAAGGGGGCUUCGGCCCUCGUGGCGAGAUGAGCUCAUGUCCGAUUAGCUAGUUGGCGGGGUAAAGGCCCACCAAGGCGACGAUCGGUAGCUGGUCUGAGAGGAUGAUCAGCCACACUGGGACUGAGACACGGCCCAGACUCCUACGGGAGGCAGCAGUGGGGAAUAUUGGACAAUGGGCGCAAGCCUGAUCCAGCAAUGCCGCGUGUGUGAAGAAGGCCUGCGGGUUGUAAAGCACUUUCAGUGGGGAAGAACGCCUCGGGGUUAAUACCCUCGGGGGUUGACGUUACCCACAGAAGAAGCACCGGCUAACUCCGUGCCAGCCGCCGCGGUAA